Ctenopharyngodon idella (grass carp) is the source of this 1212-nucleotide RNA transcript. It is a transcript of the gene named TatD DNase domain containing 1, with no coding region annotated. The transcript is spliced from 12 exons. The record is from RefSeq and is a predicted model, not a curated record. NCBI's taxonomy places the organism in Eukaryota, Metazoa, Chordata, Actinopteri, Cypriniformes, Xenocyprididae.
UACUUGUUUCUCCCACAUGAAGCGGUACGCUAUAAUGCCGUUCAAACUCAGCCUAGAAUUAUUAUUAUUAUUAUUAUUUAGACCAUCGAGAUCCUUCCGGUCCGCGAAGCCCCGCCCACUCUACCACGUGUUUGUUGUGUUUAUGGGCGCAUUGAGAAGCGCGUGCAGGUUUUAUUUCUCUACUUCUGCAAAAAUCACAAUGACCAACUUCAGAUUUAUAGAUAUUGGCAUCAAUCUAACAGACCCGAUGUUCAGAGGAAUCUAUAGAGGAACUCAGAAACAUGAAGAUGAUUUUCCUCAGGUCAUCGAGAGAGCGCUGAAGGUCGGCGUGCAGAAGUUCAUCAUCACUGGAGGAAGCCUGGAGGACAGCAGAGAGGCGCUCGGACUCGCACAGACCCGAGAGGAGUUCUUCAGUACGGUGGGCUGUCACCCGACCCGCUGCGGGGAGUUCGAUCAGCUGGGCUCGGAUCAGUACCUGUCGUCUCUGGUGGAUCUGAGCGUCAGGAACAGAGAGAAGGUGGUCGCUGUGGGAGAGUGUGGCCUCGACUUUGACAGGUUGGAAUUUUGUCCCAGAGAAACUCAGCUCAAAUACUUCGAGCGGCAGUUUGAUCUGGCGGAAGAGACGCGAUUACCCAUGUUCCUCCACUGCAGGAACUCACACCCACAAUUCCUUGACAUCAUGAAGAGGAACAGAGAUCGGUGUGCCGGUGGAGUGGUUCACUCGUUUGACGGCACGCAGCAGGACGCGGCGGCUCUGAUAGAUCUGGAUCUGUACAUCGGUAUCAACGGCUGCUCUUUGAAAACAGCAGAGAACCUGGAGGUGAUGAAGUCAAUCCCAUCGGACAGACUGAUGAUCGAAACAGGUGUUCGUGUCACCAGUUUCAUGCGGUCGUUCUCUCUGCAGACGCGCCGUGGUGCAGCAUUAAAAACACCCACGCAGGAGCGAAGAUGAUCCGAAGCACAUUUCCCACGAAGAAGAAGUGGGAGACGGGACACUGCGUGAAGGACCGCAAUGAGCCCUGCCACAUCAUACAGGUGCUGGAGGUGAUGGCGGCGGCGAGGGACGAAGAUCCACUGGACCUGACUGAAACCAUCUACAACAACACCAUGAGACUGUUCUUCAAGAGCAAAUCCUGAGAGGGACUUUUAUUUUCAUAUGUGUGUGUGUGUGUGUUGUUCAAAAGAUGCACAAUAAAAGUGACGAGAACAAUG